GAUGAACGCUGGCGGCGUGCCUAAUACAUGCAAGUCGAGCGAACGGACGAGAAGCUUGCUUCUCUGAUGUUAGCGGCGGACGGGUGAGUAACACGUGGAUAACCUACCUAUAAGACUGGGAUAACUUCGGGAAACCGGAGCUAAUACCGGAUAAUAUUUUGAACCGCAUGGUUCAAUAGUGAAAGACGGUCUUGCUGUCACUUAUAGAUGGAUCCGCGCUGCAUUAGCUAGUUGGUAAGGUAACGGCUUACCAAGGCAACGAUGCAUAGCCGACCUGAGAUGGUGAUCGGCCACACUGGAACUGAGACACGGUCCAGACUCCUACGGGAGGCAGCAGUAGGGAAUCUUCCGCAAUGGGCGAAAGCCUGACGGAGCAACGCCGCGUGAGUGAUGAAGGUCUUCGGAUCGUAAAACUCUGUUAUUAGGGAAGAACAUAUGUGUAAGUAACUGUGCACAUCUUGACGGUACCUAAUCAGAAAGCCACGGCUAACUACGUG
RNAcentral lists this ribosomal RNA (497 nucleotides) under uncultured bacterium. RNAcentral describes it as "partial 16S ribosomal RNA". It matches the Rfam family "Bacterial small subunit ribosomal RNA", at positions 28 to 507 of the family's 1533-position model. The record is from RNAcentral.